AACGAACGCUGGCAGAAUGCUUAACACAUGCAAGUCGAACGUGAAAGUACUUCGGUAUGAGUAAAGUGGCGCACGGAUGAGUAACACGUAGGUGACCUGCCGUUUAGAGGGGGAUAACCAGAAGAAAUUUUGGCUAAUACCGCAUACGAAGAACGAACUUAAAUAUAGUUCUUGAAAGGAUGCCUCUGCAUAUGCAUCUACUAAACGAUGGGCCUGCGGUACAUUAGCUAGUUGGUGGGGUAAUGGCCUACCAAGGCGACGAUGUAUAACGGAUCUGAGAGGAUGAUCCGUCACACUGGAACUGAGACACGGUCCAGACUCCUACGGGAGGCAGCAGUGGGGAAUAUUGGACAAUGGGCGAAAGCCUGAUCCAGCAAUUCUGCGUGAGUGAGGAAGGACUUCGGUCUGUAAAGCUCUGUUAAUGUGGAAAAAUGGUUAGCGGUCUAAUAGGCCGUUGAUUUGAUGGUACACAUAGAGGAAGCACUGGCUAACUUCGUGCCAGCAGCCGCAGUAA
Molecule: ribosomal RNA, 514 nt
Filed under: uncultured bacterium
Lineage: Bacteria
Description: partial 16S ribosomal RNA
Rfam family: Bacterial small subunit ribosomal RNA
Source: RNAcentral